RNAcentral lists this ribosomal RNA (253 nucleotides) under uncultured bacterium. RNAcentral's name for it is "partial 16S ribosomal RNA". It matches the Rfam family "Bacterial small subunit ribosomal RNA", at positions 524 to 776 of the family's 1533-position model. The record is from RNAcentral.
UACGAAGGGGGCUAGCGUUGUUCGGAUUUACUGGGCGUAAAGCGCACGUAGGCGGAUUGUUAAGUCGGGGGUGAAAUCCUGGAGCUCAACUCCAGAAUUGCCUUCGAUACUGGCUUUCUAGAGGCUGGAAGAGGUUAGUGGAAUUCCCAGUGUAGGGGUGAAAUUCGUAGAUAUUGGGAAGAACACCAGUGGCGAAGGCGGCUAACUGGUCCAGAUCUGACGCUGAGGUGCGAAAGCGUGGGGAGCAAACAGG